RNAcentral lists this ribosomal RNA (460 nucleotides) under uncultured bacterium. RNAcentral's name for it is "partial 16S ribosomal RNA". It matches the Rfam family "Bacterial small subunit ribosomal RNA", at positions 338 to 795 of the family's 1533-position model. The record is from RNAcentral.
CCUACGGGUGGCAGCAGUGAGGAAUAUUGGUCAAUGGGCGCGAGCCUGAACCAGCCAAGUCGCGUGAGGGAUGACGGUCCUACGGAUUGUAAACCUCUUUUGCCGGGGAGCACACGUGCGUUCGUGAACGCGUGUCGACAGUACCCGGAGAAACAGCAUCGGCUAACUACGUGCCAGCAGCCGCGGUAAUACGGAGGAUGCGAGCGUUAUUCGGAUUUAUUGGGUUUAAAGGGUGCGUAGGCGGGAUGCGAAGUCAGCGGUAAAAAUGCGGGGCUCAACGCCGGCGAGCCGUUGAUACUGGCGAUCUUGAGUGGGCUAGAAGUAAGCGGAAUGCGUGGUGAAGCGGUGAAAUGCAUAGAUAUCACGAAGAACUCCAAUGGCGAAGGCAGCAUACCGGCGCCAUACUGACGCUGAGGGACGAAAGCGUGGGUAUCGAACAGGAUUAGAUACCCGAGUAGUC